Molecule: ribosomal RNA, 465 nt
Filed under: Vreelandella stevensii
Lineage: Bacteria; Pseudomonadati; Pseudomonadota; Gammaproteobacteria; Oceanospirillales; Halomonadaceae
Description: partial 16S ribosomal RNA
Rfam family: Bacterial small subunit ribosomal RNA
Source: RNAcentral
CCUACGGGGGGCUGCAGUGGGGAAUAUUGGACAAUGGGGGCAACCCUGAUCCAGCCAUGCCGCGUGUGUGAAGAAGGCCCUCGGGUUGUAAAGCACUUUCAGUGAGGAAGAACGCCUGGUGGUUAAUACCCAUCAGGAAAGACAUCACUCACAGAAGAAGCACCGGCUAACUCCGUGCCAGCAGCCGCGGUAAUACGGAGGGUGCGAGCGUUAAUCGGAAUUACUGGGCGUAAAGCGCGCGUAGGUGGCUUGAUAAGCCGGUUGUGAAAGCCCCGGGCUCAACCUGGGAACGGCAUCCGGAACUGUCAAGCUAGAGUGCAGGAGAGGAAGGUAGAAUUCCCGGUGUAGCGGUGAAAUGCGUAGAGGUCGGGAGGAAUACCAGUGGCGAAGGCGGCCUUCUGGACUGACACUGACACUGAGGUGCGAAAGCGUGGGUAGCAAACAGGAUUAGAUACCCUAGUAGUC